UCCCCAGUGCUGGGAUUAAAGGUGAGUGUCACCAUUUCCUGGCUCAGCCGGCUCUUAUGCAAGUGCAUUGAGCUAAGAGCCCCCCUCCCCGAAUAUCAGUUAUUGAUCAAGAACACGCAGGAAAAUGGAAAUCAGGAAAUGGGUUUCCUCCAUUACCUUUCUGUCUCCUUCCUGUAGAGCUCAGGGGUGACACUGAAAUGCUCACCGUACUUCUAAGUCUCGUCCACAGCCUCUGACAGCCACACAUCCCAGCUGCUCUAGUUCCUUCCGUCGCUAUGGUAAAUACUCUGACCAAGAGCAACUUAGUGCAAGGCAGGGUUCAUUUCAGCUUACACCUCCAAGUUGCAGUCUACCACCCAGGGUGGUCAGCGAAGCAACUUAAGCAGAAACCUGAAGGCGGGCCUGCUUGCUGUUCCUUGCUGCUUCAUCUCUGACUGAGAAACGCACAGCCAAGAAGUACAGCAGUCCCACAGAGGAUGAUGCCGGCUGGCUGGCUCGAGCUUAACUACCUUUCUGAAGUGUUCAACCUUGACUCUCACCUCCCACAUCUGUGUGAAAACAGCUGGCUCAGUGUGUAAUCGCUGCAGGACAAACCCUUAGUCACACUUCCAACCUGACUGACACCUCCAGAACCGAAACUCAAAACCACGUACACAAAGGAACCUCCUUCUAGAAGUUCUGGGUAAGGUAGCUCAGGGCUGCUUACCCGAAGGCUCAGCAGCAGCACUGUGAUCCAGGUUUUUGCUUUUUUUGUUUGUUUUUGGCUCAACUUCCUCAACCAUUGGCCUCAGCCUCAGGGGUUCAAUAUGGCUACAGCAAUCCUAGACAUCACAUCUGCAUCACUGGUGUCCAGAGAUUAUUGCCUCUUCCUUCAGAUCAGCUACUACCUCCUCCAGAGAGCCAUCCCUGCUGUCUCUGGCUUCCUUGGAGAACCAGACCCCACCUUAUGGCUCUGGUCACAGUUGCAGCCAUAUACUUCUAUGCGUCACUAUUUGAAUUCAUAGCAGCUCCGCCCUGACUCCCCAGAGUGCAGAACCUGGCACAUGGCUGCGUUCAUGUUUUCUUUUUAACAGUGCUGGGCAUGGAAUGUCAGUCCUCACACAGGCUAGGGAAGAACUCUACAACUGAGCUACAACCUGGCCUCAACAGACAGACACCUAGACAGAUGGACGAGUGGGUCCGGCCCAGAAGGGACCUCACACACAUGCUCUGGGUCAUGGGAAUUGUUGAAGCAUCCUAGGCGGAGCUCAGCAGCUGAGCUCAAGAAUAACUUUCGUAAGUAGCUGGGAGGUACCAUGGAGAGUAAUUUUAUUUUUCUUUUGGUCCUCCCAGAUGAGUUAAAUAUUUUUAAUGACCAUCAUUUA
Molecule: long non-coding RNA, 1364 nt
Organism: Mus musculus (house mouse)
Lineage: Eukaryota; Metazoa; Chordata; Mammalia; Rodentia; Muridae
Product: predicted gene, 39801
Exons: 3
Source: RefSeq, a predicted model, not a curated record